This 24-nucleotide non-coding RNA is filed under the name Arabidopsis thaliana (thale cress). The record is from RNAcentral. Lineage: Eukaryota; Viridiplantae; Streptophyta; Magnoliopsida; Brassicales; Brassicaceae.
ACCAUAAAUAGUGCUUCACACAGC